AUGCUGAGAAGGAAAGAAGGCAGGGCAAAGCUAAGGACUACAGUGCAUUAUGUUUACAAGUUUGAAGACAAGAAUAUGGCUGGAAGCUCUCCCUGUGGUUACAGGCAUCACUUGGGCGCCCCCUGGAGGCUGCACGUGGCCAAGCUCAACCGGCCCCACUCUGCAGGCCAAUGCUGGGCUUUCCCCGGGUGCUUAAGAGGAAUUGGGAACCAGACCAGGGAUAACCUAGAUCUGCAAUAUAUAUCCUUGCAUAUCGGAGAGACCAAGAAAAACCAAGAUAUAAAGUCUCGUGAUUACUUGCAAAGCGAAUGGGUGAGUUUUCAGCAUGCUAACAGUCGGGGCUCAGGGAAGAAGGUGGGAGAAUGUGGGGCUGCCUGCUCAUUUCCCUUUCCCUCCGAAAGCACAGAUGGAAGAACAAAACUGGUUUUGUGUGUGCUGGGCAGAGGGCACAUUCAGAUUCCAUUGUUUAAGGAUUUAUUCCUAUGAUGGGGUUUUAAGCCCAUAAGGACACCGAUGAGCUAGAUUUUACAGGUAUCACAAGGGUAAAUAUUAAAUUGCAGCAUUGACUCAGACACGGACAAUAAACUCAUGCCAGCCUAUUCAAAUAACUACUGUAUUUCAUUGAUUUUAUGAUGCUUUUUUUUUUUUUACAUUUUACUAUCUCUAGAAAUCAGUACGCAUCUUCCAAUCUAUGACAUCAUUGAUUCCAUGAAAGAUAGUAUUUAUUUAUUUAUUUAUUAUUUUUUUAAAAAGAUUUUAUUUAUUUAUUCAACAGAGAUAGAGACAGCCAGCGAGAGAGGGAACACAAGCAGGGGGAGUGGGAGAGAAAGAAGCAGGCUCAUAGUGGAAGAGCCUGAUGUGGGGCUCGAUCCCAUAACGCCGGAAUCACGCCCUGAGCCGAAGGCAGACGCUUAACCGCUGCACCACCCAGGCGCCCCGAAAGAUAGUAUUUAUGAAGCAUUUAUUAUUGAACAAAAAACUACAUUAGUUGUGGAAUAUACAUGGCCCUUGUCCUCAAAU
This 1020-nucleotide long non-coding RNA is filed under the name Ursus thibetanus thibetanus. RNAcentral describes it as "lncRNA (ENSUTTG00000015282.1)". Lineage: Eukaryota; Metazoa; Chordata; Mammalia; Carnivora; Ursidae. The record is from RNAcentral.